CCUACGGGAGGCAGCAGUCGGGAAUAUUGCGCAAUGGAGGAAACUCUGACGCAGCGACGCCGCGUGCAGGAAGAAGGCCUUCGGAUUGUAAACUUCUUUAUACAGGGAAGUAAAAAGACAGUACCUGUGGACUAAGCUCCUGCUAACUACGUGCGAGCAGCCGCGGUAAUACGCAGGGAGCAAGCGGUAUCCGGAUUUAUUGGGUGUAAAGGGUGCGUAGGCGGAGAAGCAAGUUAGUUGUGAAAUCCCUGGGCUUAACUGAGGAACUGCAGCUAAAACUACUGUCUUUGAGUACUGGAGAGGAAGGUGGAAUUCCUAGUGUAGCGGUGAAAUGCGGAGAUAUUAGGAGGAACACCAGUGGCGAAGGCGGCUUGCUGGACAGUAACUGACGUUGAGGCACGAAAGUGUGGGGAGCAAACAGGAUUAGAUACCCUUGUAGUC
RNAcentral lists this ribosomal RNA (441 nucleotides) under uncultured bacterium. RNAcentral describes it as "partial 16S ribosomal RNA". It matches the Rfam family "Bacterial small subunit ribosomal RNA", at positions 338 to 795 of the family's 1533-position model. The record is from RNAcentral.